Oreochromis aureus is the source of this 579-nucleotide long non-coding RNA. NCBI's taxonomy places the organism in Eukaryota, Metazoa, Chordata, Actinopteri, Cichliformes, Cichlidae. The record is from Ensembl.
UUCAGUUUUUAUUUCUCAGAAACAAUGUCUUUGUUUGUUUGACAGUUUGUCAGUCGAGAGAAUAUUAUGUACUCUCUUUAUUGGCUUGGCACAACUUAGCAGCAAGCCCAGAAUGAAAAACAGCUAGAGAGAAAAUUUAGAAGAGAGAAUAGACAGAGCAGGAGAGACACGGCUGGGAAAUGACAAUCAAACCGUGAAUUAGAGUUUUCUUUAUUUGUUCAGUUUGUUCUCAGGUAGAGGCAAUAUAUGCACUCUUUAUUGUUUUAAUGGCUUGCCAUUUUUCAGCAGCAAGCCAGGAGUGAAAAACAGGUAGAGAGAAAAUUUAGCAGAGAGAACAGACAGAGCAGGAAAGACACGGCUGGGAAAUCCCAAUUAAACCGUGAAUUAGAGUUCCUUCGAACUCUAAAAUUAGAGACGCGGCUUUGAAAUCAAACCGCAAUAAGAUUCUUGGUUUGGCAAAAUUUCUCACAAACCACAGGGUGAAAUACAGAUGGAAAGAAGGCAGAGACAACAGGUGGAGUAGUACAGAGGAUAGAGGGGUUGGGGGGUUGGGAUGUGAGAGAGAAGACUGGAGAUCUG